Molecule: non-coding RNA, 252 nt
Organism: Salvelinus sp. IW2-2015
Lineage: Eukaryota; Metazoa; Chordata; Actinopteri; Salmoniformes; Salmonidae
Source: RefSeq, a predicted model, not a curated record
CAGACGCUGGUGCUGCUACUGCUGGACCAAGUGAUGUGAUGUACGCCCAGAUUCAACUCAAAAAGUUGGACAAGAAAAAGAAAAGUCAAGAUGGGGAAGACCAGAGCAACCGGACCUGUUGAUGUGACCUAUGCUGAGGUUGACCAUAAACAGAAGGCCAAAGCCAAGAAGAAGAAAGAAACAUCAACCCCACCUGAGYCAGAUUCAGUCUAUUCUCAACUGAAGCCAGUCACAGCCCCAGGUAAGACUAAU